Molecule: small nuclear RNA, 220 nt
Filed under: Erinaceus europaeus (western European hedgehog)
Lineage: Eukaryota; Metazoa; Chordata; Mammalia; Eulipotyphla; Erinaceidae
Description: 7SK RNA
Rfam family: 7SK RNA
About the family: 7SK was discovered as an abundant small nuclear RNA in the mid-70s but a possible function has only recently been suggested. Two independent studies have found that 7SK RNA binds the CDK9/cyclin T complex (known as elongation factor P-TEFb).
Source: Rfam by way of RNAcentral
GGAUGUGAGGGCAAUCUGACUGUCUAGGCAGGUGUCCCUCCCGAAGCUGCGCGCUCGGUCAAAGAGAACGGUCUUCCCCGAACAGAGAUGGACCGGUCUUCGGUGGAGGGUAAACGAGUAGCUGCACACCCCUUGCUAGAAACUUGAAAAAAGCUCUCAAGAAAAGAAAAAGCCCACAGCACAUCCCCCUGUGCCAGAGCUUGUAUGCCUGGCUCUCAUG